This 501-nucleotide ribosomal RNA is filed under the name uncultured bacterium. Its description in RNAcentral is "bacterial SSU rRNA". It matches the Rfam family "Bacterial small subunit ribosomal RNA", at positions 28 to 531 of the family's 1533-position model. The record is from RNAcentral.
GAUGAACGCUGGCGGCGUGCUUAACACAUGCAAGUCGAACGGAGAAAGGGUAGCUUGCUAUCUUUUCUUAGUGGCGGACGGGUGAGUAACGCGUGGGUAACCUGCCCUUUGCAGGGGGAUAACAGUGAGAAAUCACUGCUAAUACCGCAUACCAACUUCUUUCGCAUGAAAGAAGUUUGAAAGAUUUAUCGGCAAAGGAUGGACCCGCGUUGGAUUAGCUAGUUGGUGAGAUAACAGCCCACCAAGGCAACGAUCCAUAGCCGGCCUGAGAGGGUGAACGGCCACACUGGGACUGAGACACGGCCCAGACUCCUACGGGAGGCAGCAGUGGGGAAUAUUGCACAAUGGGCGAAAGCCUGAUGCAGCGACGCCGCGUGAAGGAUGAAGGUCUUCGGAUUGUAAACUUCUAUCAGCAGGGAAGAAAGGGCUUAUAGCCUAUGACGGUACCUGACUAAGAAGCCCCGGCUAACUACGUGCCAGCAGCCGCGGUAAACAUACUCG